GCUGAAACUUAAAGAAUUGACGGAAGGGCACCACCAGGGGUGGAGCCUGCGCUUAAUUUGACUCAACACGGGGAAACUCACCAGGUCCAGACACAAGUAGGAUUGACAGAUUGAGAGCUCUUUCUUGAUUUUGUGGGUGGUGGUGCAUGGCCGUUCUUAGUUGGUGGAGUGAUUUGUCUGCUUAAUUGCGAUAACGAACGAGACCUUAACC
RNAcentral lists this ribosomal RNA (211 nucleotides) under Cryptendoxyla hypophloia. RNAcentral describes it as "partial 18S ribosomal RNA". It matches the Rfam family "Eukaryotic small subunit ribosomal RNA", at positions 1136 to 1348 of the family's 1831-position model. Lineage: Eukaryota; Fungi; Ascomycota; Sordariomycetes; Cephalothecales; Cephalothecaceae. The record is from RNAcentral.